Molecule: long non-coding RNA, 4345 nt
Filed under: Pelobates cultripes (western spadefoot toad)
Lineage: Eukaryota; Metazoa; Chordata; Amphibia; Anura; Pelobatidae
Source: RNAcentral
UGAAAAUUGUAAAAUAUUGAUUUACAUAUUGAUUUUUAUGUAUAUGGAAAGUGUUUUGAUUGCUUUCAAUUAUGCCAUGUGUACAGAAAAUAAAAUGUUAGACAGCUAAAUAUUUGCAAAGGUGCAACACAAAAAUAACAGUUAAGAGUGUUGAUACAGAAAAGAAGACUGUUUAACAGAUUUUAAGUAAUAUAAAAUUGCAUGUUUUCUAAACAGUCACUCCAGUUUAGAUUUUGCAUCAUGAAUCACAGAUUGAACACAGAGAGAGUAAAAGUUGUAUAUGUGCUGUUCAAUCACGUUCUCUGUGUUCUGCACUAUACAUCAAAAGUGAACGUUCAAAUUUAACCUUCUAAAUAUUUCUGACAAAUGAUUGCUAACAAAAACCACAGAUGCUCUCAUCUGACUCUUCCCAGUAGCUGCCUUAUAUUGUAGCAGAUCUUAAUAUGAAAAUACAGCUCAACCUCACUGUUAGAACAUUGAAUAGUGUUAAGUAAAUUGAGUGUGUUCAGUGAUAUCCAGCAUAUACCAGAGGCAUUUUAACAAUGCACUCAUUCAAUAUUUGAAACAAAAUAUAAUUGAAUUGGAGGCUGAAAAAAUGUAGAAAGGUUCCCUAGAUGAGAUGAUCCAAUGCUUUCCAUAUUCCCAGAUCAGUAGUUGCUAUCUAUUUCUUUGAACAUCCUGUGGUGUUUCUUACCUAAUCUUACCUUGUGAAAAUAAAUAUUUUUCCACUACAGUAUUUACUAAUGAUUCUCAAAUGUACUUCAAUGUUAUAUAUAAAAAUGGGUUUCUGGUUUGAUACUGGGAAUGACAAUGAUUUUAUGAAAGACACAGAGAGGAGUAUUGCUUAACCCUUUCUUUAUUGUCCACCAAUAGCAGCAAAGAACACAAAUAGAAAAAAUAGAACAUAUACAGUAAGACACCAGCCAAUCCCCAUCCAAGUCCCAGUAUAACAGCAAGCACCGCCUCUAAAGCUGCCUCUUUCUUUGGAGAUGCGACACAUGAGAAGAGAUAUUAAACAGAGAUAUUAAACAGAAAAUCCCAACAUACAGAAAACACGGUCAUGAAAUCCAGAAAAUGCCAGUCCAUGGAACUUCUCAACCAAAAACAAACUUUAAGACAGUAAUGGAAUCCAGCCAUCAUUAGCGAAACAGACCGGGAAGAAGUGAGGAUCAUCGAGCAACACCGAAUCAAGCUGUGAAAACACAAAGAACAGGAGCCCAAUGUUUAUAUCGGUACUAAAACCAAAUUGCAAAUGUCAAUAAACAUGAAUCCAAUAAAAAGCCGAUCGUUAUUACAAACAGUGCAAACCCACCAUACAAAAACAUGAAAAAGUUGAACCAGGACAUACGUGAACAUAAAACCACGAAAUAAAUACAGUGCAUACAACAUAAUACCUACCACACCCUGGAAUCCCAAUAUGAGAGAAAAAGUUAGAAGGGAGGAAUAAAACAAGUUAAACAAACUCACAAAGGUGGGACAAUACUCGCCUUGGUGUCUAAUAAAAUCAUAAAUUUUCAACAUGAAAUAGCAAAAUCAUGUAAUUUUAUGUCAAGACAUGGAGGCUGAUAUUGCAAGUUUAAAGCUGACCAACAACCGAAGAAAAAAUGUGAGAGACUAGCCUAAAAUAAAAUUUGCAGGAAAGCAUCCACUGUCUCCACAGCCGGGUCCGGGUGCCAGUUGUAGAACCGCGACAAUUGGGUGUUGAGACGGGAUGCAAAUAGUUCGAUGGCAAAAGGACCCCAGAGAGACAAGAUAGUGGAGAACACCCCUAACCUCCAGUUGCUGUUGUCCUAAAGAUAGCAUGAACUCCAGUCCGCGUAAAUGUUUUGGAGUCACGGGAGGUACUCUGCCUGGACCACCAAAUCUCUGGCCAAGCAAUACAUCCAAACAUCCUUCACCAGGCUAGGCAGAACUGCCGACUGUGUGCCACCCAUGUAAUUGACAUAACGAACCACCGAGACGUUGUCCAUGCGCAGCCGAAUGCAUGCGCUGGCAGUCCCAUUUGAGAUACUCUUUAAAAAAAGCAGAGAGGUUGUGGAUCCACCAAGUCAAUUUGUCUCAUGUCUCAGUGUCCAGAGGGACCAUAUCCACGGAGGAGGUGCUGUUGCGGACGUGUGUGAUCUUCAGUUGCUGGAGGGCACGGUAAUGAAGAGGAGUCGGAAACACCGCUUGAAUUUAGGAUGCCAGCAGGCCAAUGAUCCAUGCCAGAUGGCGUAGCAUGUGUGCCAGUGUGUAGCAUAAUUGCUGACAGGUGGUCAGAAUCUUGAAUGUUGGAAGGCUCAGUGACUACGCUCUGGAAUCUACGGUGAAACCGAGGAACUCUAUGCAUCUCGAAGGAGUCAGGCAGGACUUCUACCAGUAGAGGAGGAAACCCAGGUGAGAUAUGAAGUCUAUUGUCCAUUGCAGGUGCCUAAAGAGGACGGAGUGAUCCUGUGCCAUGAUUAGGAUAUCAUCCAAGUAGACCUUGGGUGCGUUGCCUGAAGGGACUGAACCAGAACGCGGCUGGCGCGUUGGUGGACCCAUACUUUCUGUGUCCAGUGGGUGCGAGAGUAAGGCCUGGGAGAUAGUCUGAGAGUGGGCAGAGGACAUGGAGCCCAUAGCUGCAAUAAUGGCAUCAGUGACUGAGCAUUGCAGCGCAAGGGACUGAGUCUCAUCAGGGUGAGACAUAGGGCCAACUACUGAUGGAGGGGAGCUAGAAACUGAAUAGGGGUUCCCCAGGCCUUGAGGCAUAUCCAUCUCAUCAAGGGAAGGGGGCAGGCAGGCACCUUAGGCUUGGGCAUAUUGCAAUGUGAGACCCACAAAAAACCAGCACAAUACUAGACCCUUUUACAUAAAACUACAGCUGUAGGCAAAAUAAUAAUACUACAGGCUAGUAGGGGUUAAUCACCCAAACUAGCUGCACCAAAGAUGGAGAAAGAGGGAAGCUCACAAGGCCCAGACCAUCAGACAGGGUAGAUACAAGGCAAAGAAAGAGCCAGAAGGACGAGUAAAAUCAGAAAAUGGCCACCGUCAGUCUUGUGUGACUCGUGGCAAUAAAUCCCGCGAACGCAUCCAAUUCGCAAACCAAAACUUGGCGAACGGGACAAAUUUAUUGAACAAACUAAUGGACAGCCAUUCGAGCCCAAAAAAAAAAAAGAACUAGAAACCAUUAGUGGAAAAAAUAGUUGAACGACAUGGUUCGCGGCAAAAUUGCCAAACAAUACCAUUUGCGGCCAAUCUCCCAAACGGCAGGAAAUUGCGGCAAAAUUUAUUCAGAAAGCCCAAGUCUGUCGCGAAACAGCCGAACAGAUGGCACAAAAAACAGGUGCAAAACAGCGCCAAACAGCCAGAAAGAAGUGGUAGACCCAAGAAAGACAGAGAAAACAAGGGAAAAUAAGGAGACAAAGGGAGGCAAACCCCAAGGGACCCCCCAAAGGACAGGAGCAACAAGGCAAAGUCAAAAGAGAGGGGAGAAACACAUGCAAGAAAACCCCAGAGGAUGGUCUGGAACCCUGGGCUCAAAGGUAUAUAACAUUAACCAAAAACCAUAUAAAGUAGUAGAAUAAAGUAGAAUAACAAGAUAGAAUCAACUAUGAAAAUAACCGAAACAUAUAGAAGGCAAUUAAAGACAGAUAAUGCUAAGACUAAAAAUUCUGGUACUUAUCUUGACUGUGGAGCAGCAAAGUAAGAGGAAGUUUUAGAGGCGGUGCAUGCUAUUAUACUGGGACUUGGAUGGGGAUUGGCUGGUGUCUCACUGUAUAAGUUCUAUUUUUUUUGUUUGUGUUCUUUUCUGCUAUUGGUGGACAGUAAAGAAAGGGUUGAGCAAUAUGAGCCUCCGUGUCUUGACAUAAAAUCAGGGAUUAUCCAAGUAGCCUACUACUACAUCUGUAUAUACAGUGUCAGCAUUGUUAUUUGAUUUUGUUUUUAUAUUUUUUUGUUUUCAUUUACAUUUUCAAAACAAGUAAUAUUUAAACUGCUGAUAGAUAUCACUUGUUUUUUUUUUUAAAUGUAUUGAAAAGGUGUAGGCUAAUAUUAUACUUUUCUGUAACUAUAUAUGUCUUUAAUUUAUAUACAGAGAAUGCUAUGGAUAAUCAUUCCUAUAUCCUUUGAAUGUAAUAGUCCUAGGAAAGCGCAGCUGAUACCAGAGGUUUAAUUUUCAUUAAUGUGUUAUUGCCUUGUUAUUCUGUUACUUCUAAAGCCUGCGACACCAAUUAGACCCAGAUAUGUAAGUUUAGUCUAAGAUUUAAUAUUUAUAAUUUUUUUAUUAUACAAAAAGUGCAGUCCUCUCUUGACCUUUCAUACUGUUGCAUCCAUGUCUUAUCUUUAUCCAUCUUGUAAAAUGUUUAUGCAUGCAAGAAUGUCAAAC